This 433-nucleotide ribosomal RNA is filed under the name uncultured bacterium. RNAcentral's name for it is "partial 16S ribosomal RNA". It matches the Rfam family "Bacterial small subunit ribosomal RNA", at positions 29 to 507 of the family's 1533-position model. The record is from RNAcentral.
AACGAACGCUGGCGGCAUGCCUAACACAUGCAAGUCGAACGAGACCUUCGGGUCUAGUGGCGCACGGGUGCGUAACGCGUGGGAACCUGCCCUUAGGUUCGGAAUAACUCCCCGAAAGGGGUGCUAAUACCGGAUAAUGUCUUCGGACCAAAGAUUUAUCGCCUUUGGAUGGGCCCGCGUUGGAUUAGCUAGUUGGUAGGGUAAAAGCCUACCAAGGCGACGAUCCAUAGCUAGUCUGAGAGGAUGAUCAGCCACACUGGGACUGAGACACGGCCCAGACUCCUACGGGAGGCAGCAGUGGGGAAUAUUGGACAAUGGGCGAAAGCCUGAUCCAGCAAUGCCGCGUGAGUGAUGAAGGCCUUAGGGUUGUAAAGCUCUUUUACCCGGGAUGAUAAUGACAGUACCGGGAGAAUAAGCUCCGGCUAACUCCGUG